AAUUGGAGGGCAAGUCUGGUGCCAGCAGCCGCGGUAAUUCCAGCUCCAAUAGCGUAUAUUAAAGUUGUUGCAGUUAAAAAGCUCGUAGUUGAAUUUCGGGAUUGACGUGAUGGUCGUGCCUUAAGGGGUAUGAACUGUUGCUGUUGAUUUCUCACCUUCUGGAGAAACUUGAUGUCCUUAAUUGGGUGUCCUGCGGAUCCAGGACCUUUACCUUGAAAAAAUUAGAGUGUUUAAAGCAGGCAUUUUGCUCGAAUACAUUAGCAUGGAAUAAUAGAAUAGGACGGCAUGGUUCUAUUUUGUUGGUUUCUAGGAUCACCGUAAUGAUUAAUAGGGAUAGUUGGGGGCAUUAGUAUUCAAUUGUCAGAGGUGAAAUUCUUGGAUUUAUUGAAGACUAACUACUGCGAAAGCAUUUGCCAAGGAUGUUUUCAUUAAUCAAGAACGAAAGUUAGGGGAUCGAAGACGAUCAGAUACCGUCGUAGUCUUAACCAUAAACUAUGCCGACUAGGAAUCAGACGAUGUUAAUUUUUUAAUGACUCGUUUGGCACCUUACGGGAAACCAAAGUGU
RNAcentral lists this ribosomal RNA (565 nucleotides) under uncultured Glomus. RNAcentral describes it as "SSU rRNA". It matches the Rfam family "Eukaryotic small subunit ribosomal RNA", at positions 546 to 1106 of the family's 1831-position model. The record is from RNAcentral. Lineage: Eukaryota; Fungi; Glomeromycota; Glomeromycetes; Glomerales; Glomeraceae.